RNAcentral lists this ribosomal RNA (483 nucleotides) under uncultured bacterium. RNAcentral describes it as "partial 16S ribosomal RNA". It matches the Rfam family "Bacterial small subunit ribosomal RNA", at positions 28 to 507 of the family's 1533-position model. The record is from RNAcentral.
GAUGAACGCUGGCGGCGUGCCUAACACAUGCAAGUCGAACGGAGUCGUUUUGGAAAUCUUUUCUGAGAUGGAGUUCUCGACUUAUUGGCGGACCGGUUCGUAACGCGUUAGCAUUCUGCCAUUAACAGGGGGAUAACAGUCGGAAACGUCUGCUAAUACCGCAUAAAGCAUUAAAUUCGCAUGUAUUUCAUUCCAAAGUAGCAAUCCGCUUUUAGAUGAGCUCGCGUCUGAUUAGCUAGUUGGCGGGGUAACGGCCCACCAAGGCGACGAUCAGUAGCCGGACGGAGAGGAUGAACGCCAACAUUGGGACUGAGACACGGCCCAGACUCCUACGGGAGGCAGCAGUGGGGAAUAUUGCGCAAUGGGGGAAACCCUGACGCAGCAACGCCGCGUGAUUGAAGAAGGCCUUCGGGUUGUAAAGAUCUUUAAUCAGGGACGAAACAAAUGACGGUACCUGAAGAAUAAGCUCCGGCUAACUACGUG